AACUUCAAUAACUUCUAAAACACUUGUGACCACUAAAUACAGAAAUGUUUAUUAACAUGUUUUACAUAUAUUCUUAUUAUCUUUUCAUUUGAUGUUUAUUAUUGAUUAUUGGGGUAACUAGGUGGCCGGAGGAAGGCUUGAGAGGAGACCUGCCACUUUCUUUUGGAUAUUCCAAGUUAAAAGGAUCUGUGGGGUAUCUAGAAGAGUUUCUGUGUACCUCUGAAUCCAUCUUGGGUUAUUAGGGUCACAUCAGAUGUUAAAUCCAAUGCAGGCAGUAGAGAUUUUGGGAGUUUCAAAUGGUUGUUUGAAGCUACAGGCAAAGGUGAGAUGGUCA
RNAcentral lists this long non-coding RNA (334 nucleotides) under Bos taurus (domestic cattle). RNAcentral describes it as "long non-coding RNA NONBTAT010638". The record is from RNAcentral. Lineage: Eukaryota; Metazoa; Chordata; Mammalia; Artiodactyla; Bovidae.